UUGAUGAUGAGGUCGAAUCAGAAGGAAGUCGGCGGCAAAUCUCCGUGUCUGAGGAACACGAACUUUAAUAAGGCUGCCCAUUUGGAUGAAAUUGCUAAACAAGCCAAAGUCCGUAUUGCCGAAGGAAUGCCCCUACUCGAUUCGGAGGUCCGCGGGAAUGUUAGAGUU
This is a non-coding RNA of Paenibacillus popilliae ATCC 14706, 168 nucleotides long. Lineage: Bacteria; Bacillati; Bacillota; Bacilli; Caryophanales; Paenibacillaceae. The record is from Rfam.